This 429-nucleotide ribosomal RNA is filed under the name Actinomycetes bacterium. Its description in RNAcentral is "Actinobacteria bacterium partial 16S ribosomal RNA". It matches the Rfam family "Bacterial small subunit ribosomal RNA", at positions 355 to 776 of the family's 1533-position model. Lineage: Bacteria; Bacillati; Actinomycetota; Actinomycetes. The record is from RNAcentral.
UAGGGAAUCUUCCGCAAUGGGCGAAAGCCUGACGGAGCAACGCCGCGUGAGUGAUGAAGGUCUUCGGAUCGUAAAACUCUGUUAUUAGGGAAGAACAAAUGUGUAAGUAACUAUGCACGUCUUGACGGUACCUAAUCAGAAAGCCACGGCUAACUACGUGCCAGCAGCCGCGGUAAUACGUAGGUGGCAAGCGUUAUCCGGAAUUAUUGGGCGUAAAGCGCGCGUAGGCGGUUUUUUAAGUCUGAUGUGAAAGCCCACGGCUCAACCGUGGAGGGUCAUUGGAAACUGGAAAACUUGAGUGCAGAAGAGGAAAGUGGAAUUCCAGGUGUAGCGGUGAAAUGCUCAGCGUUAUGGAGGAACACCAGUGGCGAAGGCGACUUACUGGUCCGUAACUGACGCUGAUGUGCGAAAGCGUGGGGAUCAAACAGG